Molecule: ribosomal RNA, 245 nt
Filed under: uncultured bacterium
Lineage: Bacteria
Description: partial 16S ribosomal RNA
Rfam family: Bacterial small subunit ribosomal RNA
Source: RNAcentral
GGGCUAGCGUUGUUCGGAAUUACUGGGCGUAAAGCGCACGUAGGCGGACUACUAAGUCAGGGGUGAAAUCCUGGAGCUCAACUCCAGAACUGCCUUUGAUACUGAAGAUCUUGAGUUCGGGAGAGGUGAGUGGAACUGCGAGUGUAGAGGUGAAAUUCGUAGAUAUUCGCAAGAACACCAGUGGCGAAGGCGGCUCACUGGCCCGAUACUGACGCUGAGGCACGAAAGCGUGGGGAGCAAACAGG